AUAAUAAUCUAGACAUAACAUGUCCAAAUUACAACUCAUUAAUUGACCCAAAUUAUUGA
RNAcentral lists this ribosomal RNA (59 nucleotides) under Callospermophilus lateralis (golden-mantled ground squirrel). Its description in RNAcentral is "partial 16S ribosomal RNA". Lineage: Eukaryota; Metazoa; Chordata; Mammalia; Rodentia; Sciuridae. The record is from RNAcentral.